This 402-nucleotide ribosomal RNA is filed under the name Triticum aestivum (bread wheat). RNAcentral's name for it is "partial small subunit ribosomal RNA". Lineage: Eukaryota; Viridiplantae; Streptophyta; Magnoliopsida; Poales; Poaceae. The record is from RNAcentral.
AUGCCGGCACAUAAAGACAUCGUCGUUCGGCGGGGCUCGAUCGUGGUGGAUGGCGUCUCCUUCCUGCUGGAGCCAUGGAGGGAGGACACGCAUGCCAUCCACGACACCUGGAUGCUGCAAGUUCGCGUCGUCAUGGAGAAGCCGCCGAUGCCGCUCUGGACCCUGGAGGGCGCGAAGGAGGCGCUGGGCGACGCGGUCAUCAUCGACCGUCUCGACAGCCAUACGUUCAAGCGCGCGGACACGAAGCUGUUCGCCGUCUCGGUGUGGGUGUGGCAGCUGCACCACAUCCCCACCAAGCGAACCCUGUGGAAGCAUGCCAGAGGUGCCGGCUGGGUGGAGGAUAUGAUUGGUUUCUCGCCUCCUAGCCGGGUCGUCGCGCCGCCGCCGGACCUGCUGUGCUAG